RNAcentral lists this unclassified non-coding RNA (275 nucleotides) under Basidiomycota sp. RNAcentral describes it as "partial contains small subunit ribosomal RNA, internal transcribed spacer 1, and 5.8S ribosomal RNA". The stretch from base 1 to 47 matches the Rfam family "Eukaryotic small subunit ribosomal RNA", at positions 1785 to 1831 of the family's 1831-position model. The record is from RNAcentral. Lineage: Eukaryota; Fungi; Basidiomycota.
AAAGUCGUAACAAGGUUUCCGUAGGUGAACCUGCGGAAGGAUCAUUAACACGUAUCCAACGUUAAAACCCCCCUGUGAACCUUCAGUGUGCUCGUACAUUUCGUUAGAAAGUUGGGGUAUCUGGUAAAUCAUUGCCGAACAGUAUUGAUUCAGAAACCUUUGCAAGAAGUGUGCUUGUAGCGCGAGGCAAGUGGCCUGGCAUUCCUCUGCAUAGUUGACUUAAUUGUGCGGCCACCAAACUCGAACAACUGUUAACAAUGGAUAUCUUGGUUCUC